GACGAACGCUGGCGGCGCUCCUAACACAUGCAAGUCGAACGAGCGAAAGAGAGCUUGCUUUCUUGAGCGAGUGGCGAACGGGUGAGUAACGCGUGAGGAACCUGCCUCAAAGAGGGGGACAACAGUUGGAAACGACUGCUAAUACCGCAUAAGCCCACGACCCGGCAUCGGGUUGAGGGAAAAGGAGCAAUCCGCUUUGAGAUGGCCUCGCGUCCGAUUAGCUGGUUGGUGAGGUAACGGCCCACCAAGGCGACGAUCGGUAGCCGGACUGAGAGGUUGAACGGCCACAUUGGGACUGAGACACGGCCCAGACUCCUACGGGAGGCAGCAGUGGGGAAUAUUGCACAAUGGGGGAAACCCUGAUGCAGCGACGCCGCGUGGAGGAAGAAGGUCUUCGGAUUGUAAACUCCUGUUGUUGAGGAAGAUAAUGACGGUACUCAACAAGGAAGUGACGGCUAACUACGUGCCAGCAGCCGCGGUAAAACGUAGGUCACAAGCGUUGUCCGGAAUUACUGGGUGUAAAGGGAGCGCAGGCGGGAAGACAAGUUGGAAGUGAAAUCUAUGGGCUCAACCCAUAAACUGCUUUCAAAACUGUUUUUCUUGAGUAGUGCAGAGGUAGGCGGAAUUCCCGGUGUAGCGGUGGAAUGCGUAGAUAUCGGGAGGAACACCAGUGGCGAAGGCGGCCUACUGGGCACCAACUGACGCUGAGGCUCGAAAGUGUGGGUAGCANACAGG
RNAcentral lists this ribosomal RNA (735 nucleotides) under uncultured bacterium. RNAcentral's name for it is "bacterial SSU rRNA". It matches the Rfam family "Bacterial small subunit ribosomal RNA", at positions 28 to 776 of the family's 1533-position model. The record is from RNAcentral.